UACGGGGGGGGCAAGCGUUGUUCGGAAUUACUGGGCGUAAAGGGCUCGUAGGCGGCCAACUAAGUCGGACGUGAAAUCCCCAGGCUCAACCUGGGAACUGCGUCCGAUACUGGAUGGCUUGAAUUCGGGAGAGGGAUGCGGAAUUCCAGGUGUAGCGGUGAAAUGCGUAGAUAUCUGGAGGAACACCGGUGGCGAAGGCGGCAUCCUGGACCGACACUGACACUGAGGAGCGAAAGCCAGGGGAGCAAACGGG
Molecule: ribosomal RNA, 253 nt
Filed under: uncultured bacterium
Lineage: Bacteria
Description: partial 16S ribosomal RNA
Rfam family: Bacterial small subunit ribosomal RNA
Source: RNAcentral